This 408-nucleotide ribosomal RNA is filed under the name uncultured bacterium. RNAcentral's name for it is "partial 16S ribosomal RNA". It matches the Rfam family "Bacterial small subunit ribosomal RNA", at positions 28 to 526 of the family's 1533-position model. The record is from RNAcentral.
GACGAACGCUGGCGGUGUGCUUAACACAUGCAAGUCGAACGAAGUGGCGAACGGGUGAGUAACGCGUAAUCAACCUGCCCUUCAGAGGGGGACAACAGUUGGAAACGACUGCUAAUACCGCAUACUGAAGGUGGGGAUUGCGUCUGAUUAGCUAGUUGGCGGGGUAACGGCCCACCAAGGCGAUGAUCAGUAGCCGGUCUGAGGGGAUUAACGGCCACAUUGGGACUGGGACACGGCCCAGGCUCCUACGGGAGGCAGCAGUGGGGAAUCUUCCGAAAUGGGCGAAAGUCUGACGGAGCAACGCCGCGUGAGUGAUGACGGCCUUCGGGUUGUAAAGCUCUGUUAAGCGGGACGCGGUACCGGAAUAGAAAGCCACGGCUAACGACGUGCCAGCCGCCGCGGUAAUAC